This 305-nucleotide ribosomal RNA is filed under the name uncultured bacterium. RNAcentral describes it as "bacterial SSU rRNA". It matches the Rfam family "Bacterial small subunit ribosomal RNA", at positions 334 to 637 of the family's 1533-position model. The record is from RNAcentral.
CUUGCCUACGGGAGGCAGCAGUGAGGAAUAUUGGUCAAUGGUCGGGAGACUGAACCAGCCAAGCCGCGUGAGGGAUGAAGGUACAGAGUAUCGUAAACCUCUUUUGUCAGGGAACAAAGGCGGGGACGCGUCCCCGGAUGAGUGUACCUGAAGAAAAAGCAUCGGCUAACUCCGUGCCAGCAGCCGCGGUAAUACGGAGGAUGCGAGCGUUAUCCGGAUUUAUUGGGUUUAGAGGGUGCGCAGGCGGUCUGUUAAGUCAGCGGUCAAAGCCCGGGGCUCAACCCCGGCCCGCCGUUGAGGCUGGG